UGUGAUGGGUUACCAUUAGUUUUAUUCACAUGCAGGAUGUGGUACUGCUGAUUCAGCCUACCAAGAAUGGUCUGGGGAGCACAGAAAUAAAGUGAACAGAGUGACACGUUACUUCUCCUGGCUGACCUAAGCUGAAUAUACAGUCUGUAACCGUGGCAGUUUUGCACAGAGAAGUCAUGGGGAUGGCUGGGUCAGAGGACACAAAGUUCCUGUAAAGUCUAAAAGGAAAGUGAAAGGUCUGGGGUGGAAGCUCCGGGGUCAGCAUAAGCUUCUUCAUAGCUGAAAGGAGGAGAGAACCCAGCUUUUGCCAAGGGCAUCUGCUAAGAUUCUUGAGCACGGAAGAUACGGGCAGUGGGAAGCGAGCAGUUGAAAGAGGUAACACAGUUCCCAGAAAGAUUUUUAUUUCUUUGAGCCUGACAGAGGCACAGUGGGACCAAUGAAGCUGCUUCAGGUGUGGAGGAGCAGGGAAGAGCAUGAGGACAGGGACAUCCAUUUGGUGUAUUUUUGGAACACACUACAGAAGACUGGACCGCAGUGCCCUAAAUUUCUUUACAUCACUGGAGAAAGAUGCUGAAGUUGUUUAAAUGAGGAAACCACAAAGAAAAUGGUAAGAGGCAAAAAGCAUGGCCUGAGCUCAUUUACAAAGUCACAGUGCAUUUUCAGGUUCCUCAGUGAGACCACAUUUUCCAGGCUACAUACCUA
RNAcentral lists this long non-coding RNA (702 nucleotides) under Gallus gallus (chicken). Its description in RNAcentral is "long non-coding RNA NONGGAT004329". Lineage: Eukaryota; Metazoa; Chordata; Aves; Galliformes; Phasianidae. The record is from RNAcentral.